UAUCUGCAGUCGAGCGACAGAAAGGAGCUUGCUCCUUUGACGUUAGCGGCGGACGGGUGAGUAACACGUGGGCAACCUACCCUAUAGUUUGGGAUAACUCCGGGAAACCGGGGCU
This 115-nucleotide ribosomal RNA is filed under the name uncultured bacterium. Its description in RNAcentral is "partial 16S ribosomal RNA". It matches the Rfam family "Bacterial small subunit ribosomal RNA", at positions 60 to 164 of the family's 1533-position model. The record is from RNAcentral.